This is a long non-coding RNA of Pipistrellus kuhlii (Kuhl's pipistrelle), 128 nucleotides long. RefSeq lists it as uncharacterized. Lineage: Eukaryota; Metazoa; Chordata; Mammalia; Chiroptera; Vespertilionidae. The transcript is spliced from 3 exons. The record is from RefSeq and is a predicted model, not a curated record.
GAAGCCAGAGGCCAUAUAGCCAUCAAACAAAACAGUCCUUCACAGCAAUCCCAUAUAGGCAGCCGCACACUGACUGGUAAAUAUGUAUCUUUCCCACACAGUAGUAGCAUUUUUAGUCUCUCUAUCCC